CCGCCCGUGCCCACACGACCACGAAACGUCGAGAGUCUGUCGCUGUUUCCAUUGUGCCGCGACGAUGUUGGAAGGAGAAGAGGGAGAGAGGAGGAAGAGGACCGGCACGAUGCAUUCAGGACAGCAAGUGCGGUCGCUCGGAUUUCCUGCGGGUGCUGCCGGUGCGCUUGGGUCAGCGAGCGUUUGUGCGUGCGUCCCCCAGCUGUCCUCUGCAGUGAGGCGGCGAUCCAUUAUAGCUCACAGUGCACCGAAUGAAGGACAGGCGUUAGCAGCGAUGUUCUUUCGUCACCCCAAGUGUCAGCUGAAAUUACAUCAAGACACUUCACGAUAAGCCGUGUAUAGAUGUCUUCCUUCUUGAUCGAGUUAGGGAGAAAGAAAGCAGACAGCUCGACCCACCCCUCUUUCUGUCUAGGAACCAGCGACCUUGUUUUGGAGAUUUCUCUGACGAUAAUGGGGAGGAAGUAGCAUGCCCUUUCAGGCAGGCUGCGAUUGUAAAACGCGCUGGCUGUCGUUUCUCCAUCAUGAUAACGCUUAGGCAGCUUUUCCCCAACGGACAACUCUUCUCACUCUUCC
This is a long non-coding RNA of Rhipicephalus microplus (southern cattle tick), 573 nucleotides long. Lineage: Eukaryota; Metazoa; Arthropoda; Arachnida; Ixodida; Ixodidae. The record is from RefSeq and is a predicted model, not a curated record.